GGCUUGGUGGUGUAAUGGUAACAAACCUGCCUUAUGUAGAUAGAUAUGAAAGUUCUCUCAGUAGGAGCUCCUUGUUCAAUUCAAGGUCGAGCCG
Mycena latifolia is the source of this 94-nucleotide non-coding RNA. The record is from the annotation of a GenBank genome assembly. NCBI's taxonomy places the organism in Eukaryota, Fungi, Basidiomycota, Agaricomycetes, Agaricales, Mycenaceae.